GCGGAUGUGGUGAAAUUGGCAGACACGCAAGAUUUAGGUUCUUGUACGAUAGUGUGCAGGUUCAAGUCCUGUCAUCCGCACCA
This 83-nucleotide transfer RNA is filed under the name Clostridiales bacterium. Its description in RNAcentral is "tRNA-Leu". It matches the Rfam family "tRNA". From Rfam's summary of the family: Transfer RNA (tRNA) molecules are approximately 80 nucleotides in length. The record is from RNAcentral. Lineage: Bacteria; Bacillati; Bacillota; Clostridia; Eubacteriales.